This 385-nucleotide ribosomal RNA is filed under the name uncultured soil bacterium. RNAcentral describes it as "bacterial SSU rRNA". It matches the Rfam family "Bacterial small subunit ribosomal RNA", at positions 26 to 430 of the family's 1533-position model. The record is from RNAcentral.
AGAACGAACGCUGGCGGCAUGCCUAAUACAUGCAAGUCGAACGAACACUUCGGUGUUAGUGGCGCACGGGUGCGUAACGCGUGGGAAUCUGCCCUUGGGUUCGGAAUAACAGUUGGAAACGACUGCUAAUACCGGAUGAUAUCGAAAGAUCAAAGAUUUAUCGCCCAGGGAUGAGCCCGCGUAGGAUUAGCUAGUUGGUGAGGUAAAGGCUCACCAAGGCGACGAUCCUUAGCUGGUCUGAGAGGAUGAUCAGCCACACUGGGACUGGAGACACGGCCCAGACUCCGUACGGGAGGCAGCAGUAGGGAAUAUGGACAAUGGGCGCAAGCCUGAUCCAAGCAAUGACCGCGUGAGUAGAUAGGAAGGUCCGUUAGGGUUAGUAAAG